GUCUACGGCCAUGCCACCCUGAACGCGCCCGAUCUCGUCUGAUCUCGGAAGCUAAGCAGGGUCGGGCCUGGUCAGUACUUGGAUGGGAGACCGCCUGGGAAUACCGGGUGCUGUAGGCU
Molecule: ribosomal RNA, 119 nt
Filed under: Echinops telfairi (small Madagascar hedgehog)
Lineage: Eukaryota; Metazoa; Chordata; Mammalia; Afrosoricida; Tenrecidae
Source: RNAcentral